CAAUAGCGUAUAUUAAAGUUGUUGCGGUUAAAAAGCUCGUAGUUGGAGUUCUGCCAGGUGCCGCCUGUCCGCCCCAGUGGUGAGUACGUGGCGCGCAUUUGGCCCUUUCAAGGGGAGCGUAUCUGCACUUUAUUGUGUGGUGCGGGAUCCUUGACUUUUACUUUGAGGAAAUAGGAGUGUUCCAAGCAGGCUCUCGUCGUGCACAGCUCAGCAUGGAAUAAUAGCAUUGGACCUCGAUUCUAAGCUGUUGGUUGCCAGAAGCGAGGUAAUGAUGAAGAGGGAUAGUUGGGGGCAUUCGUAUUUAACUGUCAGAGGUGAAAUUCUUGGAUUUAUGGAAGACGAACUACUGCGAAAGCAUUUACCAAGGAUGUUUUCAUUAA
RNAcentral lists this ribosomal RNA (380 nucleotides) under uncultured eukaryote. RNAcentral describes it as "partial 18S ribosomal RNA". It matches the Rfam family "Eukaryotic small subunit ribosomal RNA", at positions 592 to 976 of the family's 1831-position model. The record is from RNAcentral.